This 494-nucleotide unclassified non-coding RNA is filed under the name Hevea brasiliensis (rubber tree). The record is from RNAcentral. Lineage: Eukaryota; Viridiplantae; Streptophyta; Magnoliopsida; Malpighiales; Euphorbiaceae.
GCAUGUUUAUUGGAAGAGAAAGGCGAUUGUGGGAAAAUGCAUGAUAUGAUUCGAGACAUGGCUUUGUGGAUAGCAUGUAAAUGUGAAAAAGAAAAUCACAAGUUUUUUGUGAAGGCAGGUGUUCAAUUAACUGAGUACCAGAAUAUGGGAAGGAUCAAAUCGGAUGUCACUAAUGGCAAACUCCUUCAACACAAUCCAAGAAGUUCCUAAAUGUCAUGAUCUUUUGACUUUAUUUGUCAGCCAGAACAGUGCUUUGUGCAAGAUCAGUGAUGGUUUCUUUCGGUUUCUGUAUACACUAACCGUUCUAGGCAUCUCACACGCUAAUAUAUGUGAAUUGCCGGUGGGAAUAUCGAGAUUGAACUCAUUGCAGUAUCUUAAUCUUUCACUGACACCUAUAAGGCAACUGCCGGUAGAGUUGAAGAUGUUAGAAAAUUUGAAAUAUUUGAACUUGGACUAUACUCUAUGGCUAGAUAUGAUUCCAAGGGGAGUCAUAU